RNAcentral lists this ribosomal RNA (253 nucleotides) under uncultured bacterium. RNAcentral describes it as "partial 16S ribosomal RNA". It matches the Rfam family "Bacterial small subunit ribosomal RNA", at positions 524 to 776 of the family's 1533-position model. The record is from RNAcentral.
UACGGGGGGGGCAAGCGUUGUUCGGAAUUACUGGGCGUAAAGGGUUUGUAGGUGGCCCGCUAAGUCACACGUGAAAUCCCUCAGCUUAACUGGGGAACUGCGUGUGAGACUGGCAGGCUCGAGGGCAGGAGAGGAACGCGGAAUUCCAGGUGUAGCGGUGAAAUGCGUAGAUAUCGGGAGGAACACCAGUGGCGAAGGCGACUUCCUGGCCUGUUCUUGACGCUGAGGCGCGAAAGCUAGGGGAGCAAACGGG